AGAGUAUAGAAGGAAUGCCAAUGAGUGAGCCAGCACAGAAAGACAAACUCACAUGUUUCAUGUUCAGAAUCUAGAUUUAAAAAUCUAUACUUAUUCAUAAACAUAUACAUAUAUAUGUGCACAUGAGACAUAAAAAACAAAGGUGAAUGGAACAAGCACACGACAGCUUCAAGGUAUCGGGUGGAAGAAGGUUUUGAUUGUAAAUACGAAGAAGAGCACAGCCAGAAACAUCUGGAAGAGUCCAGAUCAAUGGGAAAAAAUAGUAGACUAAACUUGGCCAGUAGACUGAACUGGGUGGGAACAAGUUGGGAGUUUCUGGCGAUUUGUUCCUUUUCAUCCUGAGAUCUUGAGCUGUGGAGCUCUUGGCCUCGUUCUCAGGGGAGUGUUGAAGAAUCCUUCCAUGAAAACCUUUCACCCUCAGGAAACUGUGGGACCCAAAUUAAGAUGUUUUUGAGCUCCUGCUUCAAGCAAGACAAGCACCCCAGUGAGAGAUACUGUGCAGGUACAAAGGAACACCAUCAUUGAUCAGGAACUAGAAGUUCUGAAACCAUGAUGCCAAGAACAGAGUUGUCUUUGAAGCAAUGUGAUGUCUUCUCUGCUUCAUCUUAGUCAAAUAAUUUCAAGUUCAGUCUCAGAGAGCAAGGAGGGUGUUUGGAGGUUGCAGAUGCUGUGGACAUGAAUGCUGGCCCAUCUUGCAGCAGACUCUAUAGAGAUAACCACAGGAAAACACAUCCAUUUAUCAUGUUUUACUCCAAGUACACAGACGCCAUCAAGUCAAAGCAAAACAAAUACUGUAUUUUUAUAAGGCUGUAUUUACUCUCUUCUGGGAAGGAUGUUCACAACG
Long non-coding RNA from Mastomys coucha (southern multimammate mouse), 844 nucleotides. RefSeq lists it as uncharacterized. The record is from RefSeq and is a predicted model, not a curated record. The transcript has 6 exons. Lineage: Eukaryota; Metazoa; Chordata; Mammalia; Rodentia; Muridae.